RNAcentral lists this ribosomal RNA (274 nucleotides) under uncultured bacterium. Its description in RNAcentral is "partial 16S ribosomal RNA". It matches the Rfam family "Bacterial small subunit ribosomal RNA", at positions 523 to 796 of the family's 1533-position model. The record is from RNAcentral.
AUACGUAGGGCGCGAGCGUUGUUCGGAAUUACUGGGCGUAAAGCGCGUGUAGGUGGCCAGGUAAGUCAGGUGUGAAAGCCCUCGGCUCAACCGGGGAAGUGCACCUGAAACUGCCUGGCUAGAGGGCGGCAGAGGGAGGUGGAAUUCCUGGUGUAGAGGUGAAAUUCGUAGAUAUCAGGAGGAAUACCGGUGGCGAAGGCGGCCUCCUGGACCGUUCCUGACACUGAGACGCGAAAGCGUGGGGAGCAAACAGGAUUAGAAACCCUUGUAGUCC